RNAcentral lists this non-coding RNA (45 nucleotides) under Schistosoma mansoni. Lineage: Eukaryota; Metazoa; Platyhelminthes; Trematoda; Strigeidida; Schistosomatidae. The record is from RNAcentral.
AUCCAGCUGACGAGUUCCAAAUAGGACGAAACGCUUGUCCAGGAU